GUUUGACGUUAGCGACAGAAGAAGCACCGGCUAACUCCGUGCCAGCAGCCGCGGUAAUACGGAGGGUGCGAGCGUUAAUCGGAAUUACUGGGCGUAAAGCGCAUGCAGGUGGUUUGUUAAGUCAGAUGUGAAAGCCCGGGGCUCAACCUCGGAACCGCAUUUGAAACUGGCAGGCUAGAGUACUGUAGAGGGGGGUAGAAUUUCAGGUGUAGCGGUGAAAUGCGUAGAGAUCUGAAGGAAUACCAGUGGCGAAGGCGGCCCCCUGGACAGAUACUGACACUCAGAUGCGAAAGCGUGGGGAGCAAACAGGAUUAGAUACCCUGGUAGUCCACGCCGUAAACGAUGUCUACUUGGAGGUUGUGGCCUUGAGCCGUGGCUUUCGGAGCUAACGCGUUAAGUAGACCGCCUGGGGAGUACGGUCGCAAGAUUAAAACUCAAAUGAAUUGACGGGGGCCCGCACAAGCGGUGGAGCAUGUGGUUUAAUUCGAUGCAACGCGAAGAACCUUACCUACUCUUGACAUCCAGAGAACUU
RNAcentral lists this ribosomal RNA (532 nucleotides) under Vibrio breoganii ZF-29. RNAcentral's name for it is "bacterial SSU rRNA". It matches the Rfam family "Bacterial small subunit ribosomal RNA", at positions 467 to 998 of the family's 1533-position model. The record is from RNAcentral. RNAcentral also lists the same sequence under 1 other name. Lineage: Bacteria; Pseudomonadati; Pseudomonadota; Gammaproteobacteria; Vibrionales; Vibrionaceae.